RNAcentral lists this ribosomal RNA (498 nucleotides) under uncultured bacterium. RNAcentral's name for it is "partial 16S ribosomal RNA". It matches the Rfam family "Bacterial small subunit ribosomal RNA", at positions 30 to 523 of the family's 1533-position model. The record is from RNAcentral.
AUUGAACGCUGGCGGCAUGCUCUACACAUGCAAGUCGAACGGCAGCGCGGGGCAACCUGGCGGCGAGUGGCGAACGGGUGAGUAAUACAUCGGAACGUACCCAGGAGUGGGGGAUAACGUAGCGAAAGUUACGCUAAUACCGCAUACGUUCUACGGAAGAAAGUGGGGGACCUUCGGGCCUCAUGCUUUUGGAGCGGCCGAUGUCUGAUUAGCUAGUUGGUGAGGUAAAGGCUCACCAAGGCGACGAUCAGUAGCUGGUCUGAGAGGACGACCAGCCACACUGGGACUGAGACACGGCCCAGACUCCUACGGGAGGCAGCAGUGGGGAAUUUUGGACAAUGGGCGCAAGCCUGACCCAGCAAUGCCGCGUGAGUGAAGAAGGCCUUCGGGUUGUAAAGCUCUUUUGUCAGGGAAGAAACGGUGCGGGCUAAUAUCCCGUGCUAAUGACGGUACCUGAAGAAUAAGCACCGGCUAACUACGUGCCAGCCGCCGCAGUAA